Molecule: long non-coding RNA, 825 nt
Organism: Erinaceus europaeus (western European hedgehog)
Lineage: Eukaryota; Metazoa; Chordata; Mammalia; Eulipotyphla; Erinaceidae
Exons: 2
Source: RefSeq, a predicted model, not a curated record
CUCCUCCAUCCUGUGUGGACAAGUCCAUGGGUGAGCUCCCUAGGUCCCCUGUGUUGGCUGAGUCCCUCCUGCCACCCCAACAGCUUGCCAUCCACACCCUCCAGGGCUCUCCCUGGGCCCAUGGUAUCAUCCCCAGGGCUGUCUGUGAGCCAGCAGGCAGGCAGGCAGACAAUAGCCUGCCCCCUGGCCUGGAGCGUUCAGCCCUCCAUGUUCCUCUUCAAGCCCCUCUGCUCCUGCCAUUUCUCCAGCCCCCUACCUGGCCCCAGUCUCCCUUUCACUUGGUUGCUCAGUGAUGUACAGCAGCUGGUUUGUGAGACUCUAGGUGUCAGGCACAUGGGGACUGUGAACAAGUGUCUGCUUGCUUUUCUGAAACACUGAACACAUGCUGCAGUGCCUGUGUUUCAGAUAUGCUGAGUUAGCUGAAAUGUUUAUUUUGUGAUGUGGCUACUGAGAAAUUGAAACAGACGGAUGUGGCAGCCCUAUUUGUGAGUGCUGCUCAGAUGCUAGGUAGGGAGACAACCAAGUGGAACCCCUCCAAGCACCCCGAUGAACAGUCUCCAGGGUCUGAAAUACCUCUGUAUUGAUGAUCACAUUUUUAACCACAGGCUCUGACAUUCACAAACCCAACUGGACACCAGCUUUCUGGAAGCCGUGCUGUCAUGCCUCAAGAGGGAUUCUACCAGAGUUGUACUCCAGGGGACAGGAAAUCAGAGGGAAACAGACUCAGACUAAGAGAAACUUAAGUAAGGUGACACACCAGAGGCCUCCUGAGGUUUCACACUGUACCCAUACAUUUCAAUAAACUAUUUAAACUGCCUAAUGAAA